RNAcentral lists this ribosomal RNA (388 nucleotides) under uncultured Oomycota. Its description in RNAcentral is "SSU rRNA". It matches the Rfam family "Eukaryotic small subunit ribosomal RNA", at positions 585 to 972 of the family's 1831-position model. Lineage: Eukaryota; Oomycota. The record is from RNAcentral.
CCAGCUCCAAUAGCGUAUAUUAAAGUUGUUGCAGUUAAAAAGCUCGUAGUUGGAUUUCUGGAUUGAUCGUCCGGUCCGCUUCCUUUGGGAGUGUGUACUAAGGAUGGUUGGUCCAUUUUUUGUGAGGAUGUUCUUCUGCCAUUAAGUUGGUGGUUGAAUGGACUUGCAUCGUUUACUGUGAAAAAAUUAGAGUGUUUAAAGCAGGCGUUUGCUUGAAUACAUUAGCAUGGAAUAAUAAGAUACGACCUUGGUCUAUUUUGUUGGUUUGCAUACCAGGGUAAUGAUUAAUAGGGACAGUUGGGGGUAUUCAUAUUUCAGCGUCAGAGGUGAAAUUCUUGGAUCGCUGAAAGAUGAGCUUAGGCGAAAGCAUUUACCAAGGAUGUUUUCA